RNAcentral lists this ribosomal RNA (693 nucleotides) under Blastosporella zonata. RNAcentral's name for it is "partial large subunit ribosomal RNA". It matches the Rfam family "Eukaryotic large subunit ribosomal RNA", at positions 72 to 752 of the family's 3401-position model. The record is from RNAcentral. Lineage: Eukaryota; Fungi; Basidiomycota; Agaricomycetes; Agaricales; Lyophyllaceae.
GGAUUCCCCUAGUAACUGCGAGUGAAGCGGGAAAAGCUCAAAUUUAAAAUCUGGUAGUCUUCGGCUGCCCGAGUUGUAAUCUAGAGAAGCAUUAUCCGCGCUGGACCGUGUACAAGUCUCCUGGAACGGAGCGUCAUAGAGGGUGAGAAUCCCGUCUUUGACACGGACUACCAGGGCUUUGUGAUGUGCUCUCAAAGAGUCGAGUUGUUUGGGAAUGCAGCUCUAAAUGGGUGGUAAAUUCCAUCUAAAGCUAAAUAUUGGCGAGAGACCGAUAGCGAACAAGUACCGUGAGGGAAAGAUGAAAAGAACUUUGGAAAGAGAGUUAAACAGUACGUGAAAUUGUUGAAAGGGAAACGCUUGAAGUCAGUCGCGUUUGCUGGGGAUCAACCUUGCUUCUUGCUUGGCUUACUUCCCAGUAGACGGGUCAGCAUCAAUUUUGACCGGUGGAUAAAGGCUAAGGGAAUGUGGCAUCUUCGGGUGUGUUAUAGCUCUUGGUCGCAUACAUCGGUUGGGAUUGAGGAACUCAGCACGCCGCAAGGCCGGGUCUUUGACCACGUUCGUGCUUAGGAUGCUGGCAUAAUGGCUUUAAUCGACCCGUCUUGAAACACGGACCAAGGAGUCUAACAUGCCCGCGAGUGUUUGGGUGGAAAACCCGAGCGCGUAAUGAAAGUGAAAGUUGAGAUCCCUGUCGUG